This 372-nucleotide ribosomal RNA is filed under the name uncultured bacterium. Its description in RNAcentral is "bacterial SSU rRNA". It matches the Rfam family "Bacterial small subunit ribosomal RNA", at positions 524 to 898 of the family's 1533-position model. The record is from RNAcentral.
UACGGAGGAUCCAAGCGUUAUCCGGAUUUAUUGGGUUUAAAGGGUGCGUAGGCGGACUGUCAAGUCAGCGGUGAAAGUCCAUGGCUCAACCAUGGAAUUGCCGUUGAAACUGUCGGUCUUGAGUGUAGAUGAGGUAGGCGGAAUUCGUAGUGUAGCGGUGAAAUGCUUAGAUAUUACGAAGAACUCCAAUUGCGUAGGCAGCUUACCAGGCUACAACUGACGCUGAGGCACGAAGGUGCGGGGAUCAAACAGGAUUAGAUACCCUGGUAGUCCGCACAGUAAACGAUGAAUACUAGCUGUUGGCGAUAUACAGUCAGUGGCACAGCGAAAGCGUUAAGUAUUCCACCUGGGGAGUACGCCGGCAACGGUGAA